RNAcentral lists this ribosomal RNA (477 nucleotides) under uncultured bacterium. RNAcentral's name for it is "bacterial SSU rRNA". It matches the Rfam family "Bacterial small subunit ribosomal RNA", at positions 35 to 507 of the family's 1533-position model. The record is from RNAcentral.
CGAAGCUGGCGGCGUGCCUAACACAGCAAGUCAACUUGACUGAAGGAGCAAUCUGACAGUAGAGUGCGCAAGGGUGCGUAACGCGUAAGUAACUUGCCCCAAGGUAAGGAAUAACGUCGAGAAAUACGGCGCUAAUACCUCAUAAUGCAGCGGAUCCGCAUGGAUAUGUUGUUAAAGGUUUACCGCCUUGGGAUAGGCUUGCGUCUGAUUAGUUAGUUGGUGUGGUAACGGCACACCAAGGCUACGAUCAGUAACUGGUCUGAGAGGAUGAUCAGUCACACUGGAACUGAGACACGGUCCAGACUCCUACGGGAGGCAGCAGUGAGGAAUAUUGGGCAAUGCUCGAAAGAGUGACCCAGCAACGCCGCGUGGAGGAUGAAGGUAUUCUAUAUCGUAAACUCCUGUGAGAGCAGACGAAAGACAGAUUAUUAAUCUGGAUGACUGUAUGCUCAGAGGAAGCCCCGGCUAACCUACGUG